AUCUUCUCGUACACACCACCAAUUCUUUGUUUUAUUAUACUCUGUUUUAUCUAAAACCAAAAAGGAACGAAUCAGUGUCGGCUCUUGGUUCUAAAACCAAAAAGGUACAGACCUGAAUACACACCCAAAAACGGUUCGGUUAUACGUUGGAUCCAAAACGCGCGUUUUACAAAGCUUUACUACUCCGUGACUCCUCCUCCUCCCGCCAUUUGCUUGGAAACUCUUCUUCGGGCAAUGUGCUGAAACUGAGUCAACGUCCGAGUAAACGAAGUGAAACUUUUUUUUUUUGAAAAAAAAAACGAAGUGAAACUUGGUGGUUUAGACUAAUCGAAGUGAAAGAAACCGCGUUUCCAAAAUGUUCAACUUCAAGCAAUGGUUGGUUCUUGUGGUAUGCUCAUUAGCAAUCUUGAAAGCAGAAGGAUUGCUCGUCAAUAUUACAUUUGUUCGAAACGCCGUCGCAAAAGGAGCCGGUGAGUUUAUCUUAUAACAUAAAGAAGAACACUACUCUCUUCUCCUCUUGCCACGUCAAUAAAUAAGGUGAGGAGGCGCUGACACGUGUUCCCUUUAUUAACUUUGCGUUUUAUUUAAUCUGUUCAGGAUUCGGUCGGGUUUUAGUUUUGUUGGGCCGUGUCUUUUCUUAGUCCAGCCCAUAUCAUUCUAAAGAAACGGUAUAUGUAAUUAAACGUUGCGUUUGGUUUAGGGUUUGUGUUGUGUCCAUCUUUGCAUCUCUAUUCCCUAAUCAGGCAGCCGAAUCUUUCAUCUUCUUCCGGUACGAGAUGCUACCAGUAACCGAUUUCCUCUCAUAAAGCCCUCCAUUAGUCGACCACACAUGAUCUAUAUUCAAUGCAAUCCUUGAGACUGCAAGACGGUGGACGUUCUACUAUAAAAAGAGCUCUCCACGAUUCAUUUUCAAGGCUUGGCUCAGAUGUGAAAGGCGGUCUGUAAACAUUCUAAAUAGAUAGCAUGAGGUUAAUGUGAGACGAUAGCAGCGUUGUGUUUCACAGCGGCCAUUGAUGCGGUGGACGGACAAUUCGGUUAAGGCAGAGCCUUCUUCUUAGGCUGGAGAGGUGAUGAAUCAGAUGAUGGAGGCAUGGUAACAAGUCCCAGAUUUACCAGAGGAGGCUUCUCCACCAGGAUAAAGGGGUGACAUGCUCUUGAUUGAUGUAAAGGUUAGCCUCCUCAUCUUCCUUCCCUCGCAAUUCUUUUCGGUUUCGGAUUACUUAAGAGCAAUUCUGACAUUUUGAACUUCAUUAAGUUAAUUGGACUAGAUCUGAGUUUUUUUUUAUAUUUCUUGGUAAAAUCAUCUACCCAUGUUUCGUUUUCUCAUUUGUGCAUCUAUUUAGUGACAAAGUAAUUAAAGCUUCAAAAUACACUUUUCAAUGUAAUGAGAUUAGAAAGGCAGGAUAUUGGUGACCAUAGUUAAUAUAGAAAUCUCUAUCUUUUGAUUGGUGCAAUUUCUUCAGCCUACUUCCAAAUUAAUGUUUUCACCACCAAAGAAAUACAUCUGAGCAAUUUAGCUAGAAUAUGAUGUAAUUUUUGUUUUAUUCUGGAAUCUUUAUGGGUUAUUAAAAGGAAGUUUGAUCAUGUAUGACAUACUUCAUAUAUGCUACUCAGCUUCUGCUCAAUCCGCACAGAUUCAGUGCUUAAUGCUUGCAGAUUACUUGAUGUUAAAAGACGUUUCCAAAGAGUGUUCUCAGAAGUAGCUGAGAGACGAAGCUAUAAGAAUCUAGCGUGAGUAAACCGCAUUUGUUGCAGUCUGGGAAAGACACAAAAAUGUGAGCUCCAGAAACAUCUUGGAGAGGUUUCUCCAAAGAACUUUGCGCCAAUGAAUAGGCUACUGGGGUGAAAGACGGAGAGAUUGCAAAUCUAAAAGAUGAGGAUAAGGUUGAUCAGUUGAUGUUGGCUCACUGACUAACUAGAGACUAAGGAACUUGAAUCUCGGUGCGGCAUCCAUUCUUUGUUUUUAUGUAUUAUUGAGUUCUGUUAUUGUUGGGAAGUUUAUGUCCUUGCCUUACAAAUGACCAUUGUUCCACCUGUAGAAAAAUUAGUUGGAGAAACAAAGAUUUUCUAAAGCUACAAUUUCAAAGCUCUUUGGCUAAUUUAUAAUGUUAAGUUGAGAAACAGGUCCGUAAAACGAGCACUUCAAACUGCACCGUCUGAUUUUAUUCUAGGGUGGGGAAGUAAUUGUGUUUAGUGACUUCUCUGCUGAGAAAUCCAAAUAUCAGAGGUAACAACAAUCAAUAUGACAAACAUGAUUUAGAAAUUCUAUGUUAAGUCAACCGUGUAAAACGCAAGCAUUAUGAUGACUUGGCUGUUUAAAUUAAUUUGAAUGAAAUACAUCUUACAUAAAAUAUGAACUUCUGUUAGAAUUGUGAGAAAGUUAAAGGAUAAAACUUAUUAAACCAAGCUUAGUUAUGUCUUUUAGUUUUUUUUGCAGAUAUAUAUCUUCAUUGUGUUCAUGGUCAGCCACAAUCAAUAAAGUGAGAAAUAACAUUUUUACCGAAGGAGCCCAAACUUACUCUCUUCUUUCAUUCUCUCUUACAGGGUUACAGUAUUUAGUGGCAAUAAACCAACCCUGUAAUAAAUCAGGUAAAUGGUGACCAUAUUUAUAUAAUCUCUCUGUCACCUCCGUUGUUGUAUAUUUUUCUCAAGAGUUAUUAUGUUGUCUUUAACCAGGUGUAUUACGAGUAGUUGUUGAUCUCUCUCCAAGUUAUGAGCUUCCUGCUGGUUUUGAGGUAUGUCGUUAUCACAUUUCAGGUUGAGCCCAAAGUUGAAGCUGAAUCAUGGUUUGUAAUGUCUGGUUUUAUCUUAUAACAUAAAGAAGAACACUACUCUCUUCUCCUCUUGCCACGUCAAUAAAUAAGGUGAGGAGGCGCUGACACGUGUUCCCUUUAUUAACUUUGCGUUUUAUUUAAUCUGUUCAGGAUUCGGUCGGGUUUUAGUUUUGUUGGGCCGUGUCUUUUCUUAGUCCAGCCCAUAUCAUUCUAAAGAAACGGUAUAUGUAAUUAAACGUUGCGUUUGGUUUAGGGUUUGUGUUGUGUCCAUCUUUGCAUCUCUAUUCCCUAAUCAGGCAGCCGAAUCUUUCAUCUUCUUCCGGUACGAGAUGCUACCAGUAACCGAUUUCCUCUCAUAAAGCCCUCCAUUAGUCGACCACACAUGAUCUAUAUUCAAUGCAAUCCUUGAGACUGCAAGACGGUGGACGUUCUACUAUAAAAAGAGGUAUGAGUUCCUGCUUUUAGAAUCAUCAUUCGUUCUAAACUAAACAGUAAACAAAAAGUGUGAGUUAUGGCUGCCGUCUUGAUUCCAUAUUAUAAUUAUUCAUUGUGUUUUGGAGUUUCUGUUGUAUACUUUUUUGCUGAGCCUUUUUCCAGCUUUUGAUGAUUGAUAAAUGUUUUUUAAUCUUCAUAUUUUACGACUGAGUAAUUUCUCCGGUUCUGACUAUUCAUUGAUGUUUAGAUAUGUUUCACCAUGCUGGAUCCAUAUUACAAACUUCUUUGGUAACUAUUUUUUUUUAAUGGCUGCCUGAUAAAUCGAAUUGAUUCAGCUCUCCACGAUUCAUUUUCAAGGCUUGGCUCAGAUGUGAAAGGCGGUCUGUAAACAUUCUAAAUAGAUGUGAGUAUUGCUUUUCUUGAACUCAUCUUCUCUUUGUAUCUCUUAAAUCUAUCUUAGAUUAGUCUACCUCCUUUUGCUUGCGCAUUCAUGAAGCUGUUCGCGGAGACGCUUUUUUACAGAGCAUGAGGUUAAUGUGAGACGAUAGCAGCGUUGUGUUUCACAGCGGCCAUUGAUGCGGUGGACGGACAAUUCGGUUAAGGCAGAGCCUUCUUCUUAGGCUGGAGAGGUGAUGAAUCAGAUGAUGGAGGCAUGGUAACAAGUCCCAGAUUUACCAGAGGAGGCUUCUCCACCAGGAUAAAGGGGUGACAUGCUCUUGAUUGAUGUAAAGGUUAGCCUCCUCAUCUUCCUUCCCUCGCAAUUCUUUUCGGUUUCGGAUUACUUAAGAGCAAUUCUGACAUUUUGAACUUCAUUAAGUUAAUUGGACUAGAUCUGAGUUUUUUUUUAUAUUUCUUGGUAAAAUCAUCUACCCAUGUUUCGUUUUCUCAUUUGUGCAUCUAUUUAGUGACAAAGUAAUUAAAGCUUCAAAAUACACUUUUCAAUGUAAUGAGAUUAGAAAGGCAGGAUAUUGGUGACCAUAGUUAAUAUAGAAAUCUCUAUCUUUUGAUUGGUGCAAUUUCUUCAGCCUACUUCCAAAUUAAUGUUUUCACCACCAAAGAAAUACAUCUGAGCAAUUUAGCUAGAAUAUGAUGUAAUUUUUGUUUUAUUCUGGAAUCUUUAUGGGUUAUUAAAAGGAAGUUUGAUCAUGUAUGACAUACUUCAUAUAUGCUACUCAGCUUCUGCUCAAUCCGCACAGAUUCAGUGCUUAAUGCUUGCAGAUUACUUGAUGUUAAAAGACGUUUCCAAAGAGUGUUCUCAGAAGUAGCUGAGAGACGAAGCUAUAAGAAUCUAGCGUGAGUAAACCGCAUUUGUUGCAGUCUGGGAAAGACACAAAAAUGUGAGCUCCAGAAACAUCUUGGAGAGGUUUCUCCAAAGAACUUUGCGCCAAUGAAUAGGCUACUGGGGUGAAAGACGGAGAGAUUGCAAAUCUAAAAGAUGAGGAUAAGGUUGAUCAGUUGAUGUUGGCUCACUGACUAACUAGAGACUAAGGAACUUGAAUCUCGGUGCGGCAUCCAUUCUUUGUUUUUAUGUAUUAUUGAGUUCUGUUAUUGUUGGGAAGUUUAUGUCCUUGCCUUACAAAUGACCAUUGUUCCACCUGUAGAAAAAUUAGUUGGAGAAACAAAGAUUUUCUAAAGCUACAAUUUCAAAGCUCUUUGGCUAAUUUAUAAUGUUAAGUUGAGAAACAGGUCCGUAAAACGAGCACUUCAAACUGCACCGUCUGAUUUUAUUCUAGGGUGGGGAAGUAAUUGUGUUUAGUGACUUCUCUGCUGAGAAAUCCAAAUAUCAGAGGUAACAACAAUCAAUAUGACAAACAUGAUUUAGAAAUUCUAUGUUAAGUCAACCGUGUAAAACGCAAGCAUUAUGAUGACUUGGCUGUUUAAAUUAAUUUGAAUGAAAUACAUCUUACAUAAAAUAUGAACUUCUGUUAGAAUUGUGAGAAAGUUAAAGGAUAAAACUUAUUAAACCAAGCUUAGUUAUGUCUUUUAGUUUUUUUUGCAGAUAUAUAUCUUCAUUGUGUUCAUGGUCAGCCACAAUCAAUAAAGUGAGAAAUAACAUUUUUACCGAAGGAGCCCAAACUUACUCUCUUCUUUCAUUCUCUCUUACAGGGUUACAGUAUUUAGUGGCAAUAAACCAACCCUGUAAUAAAUCAGGUAAAUGGUGACCAUAUUUAUAUAAUCUCUCUGUCACCUCCGUUGUUGUAUAUUUUUCUCAAGAGUUAUUAUGUUGUCUUUAACCAGGUGUAUUACGAGUAGUUGUUGAUCUCUCUCCAAGUUAUGAGCUUCCUGCUGGUUUUGAGGUAUGUCGUUAUCACAUUUCAGGUUGAGCCCAAAGUUGAAGCUGAAUCAUGGUUUGUAAUGUCUGGUUUUAUCUUAUAACAUAAAGAAGAACACUACUCUCUUCUCCUCUUGCCACGUCAAUAAAUAAGGUGAGGAGGCGCUGACACGUGUUCCCUUUAUUAACUUUGCGUUUUAUUUAAUCUGUUCAGGAUUCGGUCGGGUUUUAGUUUUGUUGGGCCGUGUCUUUUCUUAGUCCAGCCCAUAUCAUUCUAAAGAAACGGUAUAUGUAAUUAAACGUUGCGUUUGGUUUAGGGUUUGUGUUGUGUCCAUCUUUGCAUCUCUAUUCCCUAAUCAGGCAGCCGAAUCUUUCAUCUUCUUCCGGUACGAGAUGCUACCAGUAACCGAUUUCCUCUCAUAAAGCCCUCCAUUAGUCGACCACACAUGAUCUAUAUUCAAUGCAAUCCUUGAGACUGCAAGACGGUGGACGUUCUACUAUAAAAAGAGGUAUGAGUUCCUGCUUUUAGAAUCAUCAUUCGUUCUAAACUAAACAGUAAACAAAAAGUGUGAGUUAUGGCUGCCGUCUUGAUUCCAUAUUAUAAUUAUUCAUUGUGUUUUGGAGUUUCUGUUGUAUACUUUUUUGCUGAGCCUUUUUCCAGCUUUUGAUGAUUGAUAAAUGUUUUUUAAUCUUCAUAUUUUACGACUGAGUAAUUUCUCCGGUUCUGACUAUUCAUUGAUGUUUAGAUAUGUUUCACCAUGCUGGAUCCAUAUUACAAACUUCUUUGGUAACUAUUUUUUUUUAAUGGCUGCCUGAUAAAUCGAAUUGAUUCAGCUCUCCACGAUUCAUUUUCAAGGCUUGGCUCAGAUGUGAAAGGCGGUCUGUAAACAUUCUAAAUAGAUGUGAGUAUUGCUUUUCUUGAACUCAUCUUCUCUUUGUAUCUCUUAAAUCUAUCUUAGAUUAGUCUACCUCCUUUUGCUUGCGCAUUCAUGAAGCUGUUCGCGGAGACGCUUUUUUACAGAGCAUGAGGUUAAUGUGAGACGAUAGCAGCGUUGUGUUUCACAGCGGCCAUUGAUGCGGUGGACGGACAAUUCGGUUAAGGCAGAGCCUUCUUCUUAGGCUGGAGAGGUGAUGAAUCAGAUGAUGGAGGCAUGGUAACAAGUCCCAGAUUUACCAGAGGAGGCUUCUCCACCAGGAUAAAGGGGUGACAUGCUCUUGAUUGAUGUAAAGGUUAGCCUCCUCAUCUUCCUUCCCUCGCAAUUCUUUUCGGUUUCGGAUUACUUAAGAGCAAUUCUGACAUUUUGAACUUCAUUAAGUUAAUUGGACUAGAUCUGAGUUUUUUUUUAUAUUUCUUGGUAAAAUCAUCUACCCAUGUUUCGUUUUCUCAUUUGUGCAUCUAUUUAGUGACAAAGUAAUUAAAGCUUCAAAAUACACUUUUCAAUGUAAUGAGAUUAGAAAGGCAGGAUAUUGGUGACCAUAGUUAAUAUAGAAAUCUCUAUCUUUUGAUUGGUGCAAUUUCUUCAGCCUACUUCCAAAUUAAUGUUUUCACCACCAAAGAAAUACAUCUGAGCAAUUUAGCUAGAAUAUGAUGUAAUUUUUGUUUUAUUCUGGAAUCUUUAUGGGUUAUUAAAAGGAAGUUUGAUCAUGUAUGACAUACUUCAUAUAUGCUACUCAGCUUCUGCUCAAUCCGCACAGAUUCAGUGCUUAAUGCUUGCAGAUUACUUGAUGUUAAAAGACGUUUCCAAAGAGUGUUCUCAGAAGUAGCUGAGAGACGAAGCUAUAAGAAUCUAGCGUGAGUAAACCGCAUUUGUUGCAGUCUGGGAAAGACACAAAAAUGUGAGCUCCAGAAACAUCUUGGAGAGGUUUCUCCAAAGAACUUUGCGCCAAUGAAUAGGCUACUGGGGUGAAAGACGGAGAGAUUGCAAAUCUAAAAGAUGAGGAUAAGGUUGAUCAGUUGAUGUUGGCUCACUGACUAACUAGAGACUAAGGAACUUGAAUCUCGGUGCGGCAUCCAUUCUUUGUUUUUAUGUAUUAUUGAGUUCUGUUAUUGUUGGGAAGUUUAUGUCCUUGCCUUACAAAUGACCAUUGUUCCACCUGUAGAAAAAUUAGUUGGAGAAACAAAGAUUUUCUAAAGCUACAAUUUCAAAGCUCUUUGGCUAAUUUAUAAUGUUAAGUUGAGAAACAGGUCCGUAAAACGAGCACUUCAAACUGCACCGUCUGAUUUUAUUCUAGGGUGGGGAAGUAAUUGUGUUUAGUGACUUCUCUGCUGAGAAAUCCAAAUAUCAGAGGUAACAACAAUCAAUAUGACAAACAUGAUUUAGAAAUUCUAUGUUAAGUCAACCGUGUAAAACGCAAGCAUUAUGAUGACUUGGCUGUUUAAAUUAAUUUGAAUGAAAUACAUCUUACAUAAAAUAUGAACUUCUGUUAGAAUUGUGAGAAAGUUAAAGGAUAAAACUUAUUAAACCAAGCUUAGUUAUGUCUUUUAGUUUUUUUUGCAGAUAUAUAUCUUCAUUGUGUUCAUGGUCAGCCACAAUCAAUAAAGUGAGAAAUAACAUUUUUACCGAAGGAGCCCAAACUUACUCUCUUCUUUCAUUCUCUCUUACAGGGUUACAGUAUUUAGUGGCAAUAAACCAACCCUGUAAUAAAUCAGGUAAAUGGUGACCAUAUUUAUAUAAUCUCUCUGUCACCUCCGUUGUUGUAUAUUUUUCUCAAGAGUUAUUAUGUUGUCUUUAACCAGGUGUAUUACGAGUAGUUGUUGAUCUCUCUCCAAGUUAUGAGCUUCCUGCUGGUUUUGAGGUAUGUCGUUAUCACAUUUCAGGUUGAGCCCAAAGUUGAAGCUGAAUCAUGGUUUGUAAUGUCUGGUUUUAAUGAAAACUUUGUUGUAUUGGGAGAAUGGUUAGACGGUAGUCCUAAACAGAAGAAGAGAUCGAAAGCAAAAUUUGGUAGAGAGAUUUCUUUGAAGAAGGCGUUAAGAUUAAGAAAUUUUCUCCAAACCAGCUUUCUAGAGAGAUUGAGUUAUUCACGAGGUGGUCUUAGUGAAAGGAUUGAUGUGAGGGCAUGUUUCAACCGAGUAUAAACACUGAGAGUAUUCUUUGGUUUCUAUGUUUAAUCAUCUCUUCUCCUGCUCAUGCGUAAAUCCGAUUUAUAUCAUUUUUGGAAUUCCAUACAUCUAACCGAGUUUGGUAUACAAUGUGGAAUUUCAUAAAGAUUGUAAAAAAGGUGGGUGUGGGCCGUGUGGCAACUUGGAAUCACCACUUGAUUUCGACCAGCAAUAUGUAAUCCAAACAUUUAAUUAUUACGAAUUGAAUCAAAGAUUCAGUAUUAUUUAUGUUUAAUAUUUUAAUUUACGUUUUAAUUAGGUUGAUCUUACAACAACAUUCAUAUAAAUAAAAAAACAUUUCCAUUUAUACCAAUUAUAAUAACAAACAUGAAUGACAUACCAAAUAAAAUAACAAACAUGAAUGCUUUUUUUUUUGGUAGAGCAUGACUGUUAUUAAAUAAACUAAUAUGGCUCUGAUGUCCAAAGCCAAAUAAAGCAUGAAUUAAGGACAAUAUAUAACAAGAUGUAUUAUGUGGUCAAUGACGGUUCUCACGCUCAAUAUUCUAACAUCCUACAUAACUAACUAAACAUGGCAUAGAAAUAUUGGUUCACAAAUGAUAUAACCAAUCCCCGUUGAAGUUAAAAGAAAAUAUCAAUCCAAACAUUUAUAUUUACAAAUGCUCAUUGAAAUAUAAUUCACUACAAGAAAACGUAGCAGUAACAACGGUAUUUUACGAGGAAAUUAUUUCCUCGUAAAUUUACAUAAGCUUUACAACGCAAUUACGACGCGACAUGACUUCGUCGUAAACUCGAUGGUAAUUUACGACGAAAUGUAUUCGUCGUAAAGUUAAUGUAAGUUUACGACGAAAGUACGUGGAAUGCAAAAUAGUUGUAAACGUUACAUCGACAUUACAACGAAUCAUGUUACCGUUACAUAAAGGUGAAAACGUGUAUUGAAAGUGCUUUAACUUACCUAAGUUCGUUGUAAACGCGUUGUAAAUUUUCCAUGUAAAAUCCAUGUAAAACUUACCAUAUUUCUCUAUAUAUAUGUCAUUUCCCACAACUCUCUUCCUCACAACACACAACUCUCUUCCUCACAACACACAACUCUCUUCUUCUCGAACCACCAAUUACUAUUUCGAAGAUAACGAUAACGAACAUGAGUCAUUCGUCUGUCUGCCAAUUCAGUA
This is a long non-coding RNA of Brassica napus (rape), 9711 nucleotides long. RefSeq lists it as uncharacterized. The transcript has 4 exons. The record is from RefSeq and is a predicted model, not a curated record. NCBI's taxonomy places the organism in Eukaryota, Viridiplantae, Streptophyta, Magnoliopsida, Brassicales, Brassicaceae.